RNAcentral lists this non-coding RNA (737 nucleotides) under Geobacillus sp. B4113_201601. RNAcentral's name for it is "bacterial LSU rRNA". It matches the Rfam family "Bacterial large subunit ribosomal RNA", at positions 2190 to 2925 of the family's 2925-position model. Lineage: Bacteria; Bacillati; Bacillota; Bacilli; Caryophanales; Anoxybacillaceae. The record is from RNAcentral.
CGGUGGGAUACCACCCUGGCGGUAUUGAAAUUCUAACCCGCACCCCUUAGCGGGGUGGGAGACAGUGUCAGGUGGGCAGUUUGACUGGGGCGGUCGCCUCCCAAAAGGUAACGGAGGCGCCCAAAGGUUCCCUCAGAAUGGUUGGAAAUCAUUCGGAGAGUGCAAAGGCACAAGGGAGCUUGACUGCGAGACGGACAGGUCGAGCAGGGACGAAAGUCGGGCUUAGUGAUCCGGUGGUUCCGCAUGGAAGGGCCAUCGCUCAACGGAUAAAAGCUACCCCGGGGAUAACAGGCUGAUCUCCCCCAAGAGUCCACAUCGACGGGGAGGUUUGGCACCUCGAUGUCGGCUCAUCGCAUCCUGGGGCUGUAGUCGGUCCCAAGGGUUGGGCUGUUCGCCCAUUAAAGCGGUACGCGAGCUGGGUUCAGAACGUCGUGAGACAGUUCGGUCCCUAUCCGUCGCGGGCGUAGGAAAUUUGCGAGGAGCUGUCCUUAGUACGAGAGGACCGGGAUGGACGCACCGCUGGUGUACCAGUUGUCCCGCCAGGGGCACCGCUGGGUAGCUAUGUGCGGACGGGAUAAGCGCUGAAAGCAUCUAAGCGUGAAGCCCCCCUCAAGAUGAGAUUUCCCAUCGCGUUAGGCGAGUAAGAUCCCUCGAAGAUGACGAGGUCGAUAGGUCCGAGGUGGAAGCGUGGCGACACGUGGAGCUGACGGAUACUAAUCGAUCGAGGGCUUAACCUA